Molecule: ribosomal RNA, 231 nt
Filed under: Parmelia squarrosa
Lineage: Eukaryota; Fungi; Ascomycota; Lecanoromycetes; Lecanorales; Parmeliaceae
Description: partial 18S ribosomal RNA
Source: RNAcentral
AGAUUAAGCCAUGCAUGUCUAAGUAUAAGCAAUCUAUACGGUGAAACUGCGAAUGGCUCGGAAUUUAAUGGGCCGUUCGAUCGUGGAAUAGCGGGGUCCGCCCCCGUAACACUGCCCAAGUGUGGGAACCAUACGCUGGAACUCGCAGCCAGGACUUCUGGUUCAACGACUACAAGGCAUUUGGCCGGGGACUUCCCCGGUUAAGAUAUAGUCUCACUCCCGGAGCGAUCC